Molecule: ribosomal RNA, 2869 nt
Filed under: Candidatus Azambacteria bacterium GW2011_GWC2_43_27
Lineage: Bacteria; Candidatus Azamiibacteriota
Description: bacterial LSU rRNA
Rfam family: Bacterial large subunit ribosomal RNA
Source: RNAcentral
UUAAGGGCGUAUGGAGGAUGCCUUGGCACAAAAAGGCGAUGAAGGACGCGGCAUGACUGCGAUAAGCGUCGGGGAGCCGUCUAGCGGGCUUUGAUCCGGCGGUGUCCGAAUGGGGCAACCCAUGGCGAGUAAUGUCGCCAUAUCUUUAUCCGUAAGAGAUAAAGGAGCAAACCCGGGGAAGUAAAACAUUUCAGUACCCGGAGGAAAAGAAAAAAAGAAUCAAUCUAUUAUUCAUGGGUCCGGAUAGUCGGGCUAAUGAAUAAUAUUUUGAUAAUAUUCCCCCAGUAGCGGCGAGCGAAAAGGGAGGAGUCCAAACCCAUCCGAUACUUUCGCAAGAAAGUAACGGGUGGGGGUUGUAAGGAAUAAUCGUUCUUGUAGCAAUACAAGAGGAAAGUCUAUAAACUUCCACCCUUCGGGUGGUCGCCCGCAGGGGCGAAAAAAUUGAUUAGUUGAACGGUUUUGGAAAAGCCGACCAAAGGGGGUAAUAGUCCCGUAAGCGAAAAUCUUUUUAAUACUUUCUGGUUAUUUUCUUGAGUACCGCGGGGAAAGACUGCCCCGCGGGAAGCCUGACCGAUAGUGAACUAGUACCGUGAGGGAAAGGUGAAAAGCAGCCCGGUGAGGGCGAUGAAAUAGAUCCUGAAACCAUACGCUUACAAAGAGCGGGAGCCCGCAAGGGUGACCGUGUGCCUAUUGAAGAAUGAGCCAACGACUUUAUAGGAACGGCUUGGGUAAACCUCGUUUGAGGCUAUAAGACCCGAAGCCAGGCGAGCUUACCAUGGUCAGGUUGAACCCCGCAGAAAUGCGGGGGGAGGACCGCACCCACUAGCCGUGCGACACUAGGGGAUGAACUGUGGUAAGAAGUGAAAAGCUAAUCGAGCCUGGGAAUAGCUGGUUCUCUCCGAAAUAGUUUUAGGACUAGCCCCGCGUGUUUUUUAUUGGAGGUAGAGCACUGGUUGGUAUUGAUUGGCGCAAGCUAGCAAGACCAGUCAAACUCCGAAUUCCAUUAAAAUAACUCGGGAGUCAGUAUUCGGGGGCAAAGCUCCGAAUACAAGAGAGCAAGAACUCGGACCAUCGUCUAAGGUCCCUAAAUUUUGGCUAAGUGUAGAAGGAAGUGAUGCGUCGAAGACAAAUAGGAGGUUGGCUUAGAGGUAGCCAUCCUUUAAAGAGUGUGUAACAACUCACUAUUAUAUUUCCCUUUGGGAGAUUGACGCAUCGCGCCGAAGAUAUAACGGGACUAAGCCAGAUACCGAAGACAUGGGUUUGCGAAUUUUAAUUCGCAAGCGGUAGGAGAGCGUUUUUAGCGCAGCGAAGAUUGACCCGCGAGGGCGAUUGGAGCGCUAAGAAGUGAAAAUGUUGGCAUGAGAGGUUUCCUUGGCAAUGAAAAUCAGCCAAGGGUUAGGCGGUCCUAAGGCAAUGGAGAAAUCCGCAGCCGAUGGACAGACGGUUAAUAUUCCGUCCCUAUCUCAAGCGCUUUUACGGAAUGACGAAGUUUAGUAUGCCGGGCGCCUUAUUGGAUUGGCGUUCUUUGCAUCAGAGUUUUUGGAAGGCAAAUCCUUCCAAAUGCGUUUAAUCGCAAACUUAAGUGUCGAGAAAAUUUUCCCGUUCGCGGGAAGAAAUUUGGCAAAGCAAGCUUCCAAGAAAACUUUCGUAAAUUAGCUUGAGGUAUCCGUACCGAAAACCGACACAGGUGGGCAGGGCGAGCAGCCCACAGCGAACGAGUGAUCCGUGGUUAAGGAACUCGGCAAAAAAGCGGCCGUAAGUUAGCGAUAUGGCCUGCCCCGCUUAGCGGGGCCGCAGCUAAAGAUUCCCUGGCGACUGUUUAUCAAAAACACAGCUCCCUGCUAACUCGCGAGAGGAUGUAUAGGGGGUGAUGCCUGACCUAUGCGAGAAGGUUAACGGCGGAUGUGGUAUUCCCAGCAAUGGAGAUAUUGCUGAUGCCCGAAGCCCUCGUAAAUGUCAGCGAUAACUAUAAUCGUUCUAAGGUCAUGCUUUUGUUGAUUUAUCAAGGAAGGCAUGAGGACUGGAACGAUUAUAAUAAUGAAAAAAAACGCUGCCUAUUCUAAUGAAAAUUAGAAUGUCUAAAAAUUUUCGGCUAUAUGCUGGAAAAUCUGUGGAUAAAAUCCUCAAGUAUCCGAAACUACUAUGGUAUAAUGCGUCCAUAUAAAUAUGGCGAAAAUAUCAAGUAAAAAAGUUAUCGGCGCAGAUAAUCAGCAGGAAAGGCUAAAAAUUGCUUGGUGGAUUUGCGGUUUUGUUGAUGGAGAAGGUUGUUUUUCGGUAAGUAUAAUCAAAAACAAAACUACCAAAUCGGGAAUUCAAAUUUUUCCAGAAUUUGUCGUAACGCAAGGAGCAAAAAGUUUGUUCGCGCUCAAAAAAAUUAAAAAUUUCUUUGAUUGCGGCAAUAUUUUUGUGAAUAAGCGUUAUGACAAUCACAACGAAAAUCUUUACAGAUAUUGUGUAAGAUCUUUGGAGGACUUAAAGACCAAGAUUAUUCCAUUUUUUAUGGAAAAUAAUCUGAAAACUUAUAAGCGAAAGGAUUUUUCAAUUUUUAAAGAUGUUGUGAGAAUAAUGCUUCAGAAAAAGCACCUAAAUGAUUCCGGUAGAAAUAAAAUUCUUUCUUCAAUCGGUAAAAUGAACAGAAGAAAAAAGCGAUUUUAGAAUCCUCACAGACCAUAUGCCGAACCCUGAGUUUAUCGAAGGGAAGAUAUGGUCGGGACUUUAUGGCGACAUAAAGAUUAACAAAAUCAAGCGUAAUUCACUGGGGAACUGUCUCAACCACGAGCUCGGUGAAAUUGCAAUUCCAGCGAAGAUGCUGGGUACCUGUAGCAAGACGAAAAGACCCCGGGAGCUUUACUGUAACUUAGUAUUGGCU